GUCUGGAAUGCCUAGGACAAGUUCCUUCUCACUGCCAGGCACAUGAAUUGGUGGGUGCUUCCUCUGUCCUGUUUACAAGUUCCUACUCUGUCAUCUGCUUCAAAGGGUGAAUUUUAUCCUAAAUCCUAAGUUAGGCAUUCUUUGUUCCAAAAGAAAUUAUUGUGCUGAUUAUUGCUCUUUAUUGCAGUGGUAUAAAACAGGAUGUCUCAGUAUAUUUGAGUAUUUGAGUGGAUUUCUUUCUGUUGAAUCUACAUUUCUUCCAAUUCAAUGUGGAAUUAGUCCCACUGAGUGUACUCACAGGAAUGUGGAUCCCUCUUGCAGCUGGUGAGACAAAAAUCUCAUAAAAGGUAAAUAUCCUGAGUGUUUUCAUAGAUGUGUGCUUUAAGAACUCAAUGUCUGUUGGUCCACUAGGAGCUACAACAAAAAUAAAGCAUAGUGAGGAUGGUAUUUUUGAAAGGGUUAAGGAAACAAGAGCAAAAUGUGUUGCUCUUAAUUCACUUCAACAAGUGUAUGCUUAAGAUUUUUCGUCUAAAUUUACCAUAGGUUGAUUUAAUCUUAGAAUCACUUUUGGUAAGUAUUUUAAGAAUAAGCAGGCAUUUAACACAUUUGUUUAAGCAUUCUCCAGGACACCUGAAAUUUGAAACACCCCCUUAAUCCUGUCACUCAUGACAAAGGGUAGUUACUUCUCUGCCUAAUUUUGUCCUGUUUUUGUUUGUACAGCAGAGAACAGACUAUAGAGAUCUAUUUUAAGGGGAAAUGCUAUAAUAUUGUCAUUCACUUACUGCUCGCAUGGCAUGAUAUUGCUGUUUGUGCUCUGUUGUUGUUAGUCUGCCAGCUUGGAUGUGAUAAUAAUCAUAACACAAGAUUUCAGCAAAAAGCCUACAAACCUUCAAGUCCCCAUUGUAUAUUAUUUGGAGAAGCUGUUUUGAUAUUUGUGUCUCAGCUUGCAUGAGCAAUAUCACAUUACUGGAAAUUGUGUUUUCCUACAAUGACUCCCACAGGUAAGGACUUUCUGCAGCAUCAAGAUUAUUUUGUUCAAUUUGGCACAGGUAGGUUUUGCUGCAGGAGCUUGUUAAACAUGAAAUAAGGCAAAGUUUCUGGUCUUGAAUCCAAAUUUUUCCUCAAUUCUGACUCUCCAGAUCCUGAUAUACUGCUUCUGACCUUUUCAGGCAGAGGAUGGCUGAGACCUGAGCAUAUGGAUCCCCUGUUUGAAUUAAAGUAAGAUAUCUUUGCUACUUAUGUGACAUGAAAGGAUACAUAGCUAUUACCAUUUUUACUUGAAAGUGAAUUAAAAUUCAAAUGCUUUGAAUUUAAUAAACAUCCCUGCUUAAAAUACUUAUCAUUUCUUGACCUGUGGGUCAUUACUGUCUAGACUGCUUCAGGUUGUUGCUGCUAUUUAAUUUAUAGAGGUUUUGAAAAGUUUCCUCUCUCUUUUUUACAAAUAAGGGAGAUUUGUUAUUCAUUGAUAGGAAGUGAAGAUGUUAGUUUUACCCUUCUGCUUUUAGAAAAAUUAUUUCUACUUAAUCAUUCCAUUUCUUUUUGUCUGAGUCCUUCAAAUAUGGCUCUAGGAAAACAUCCUGACAGAUUUAUUGAGAAGCAUUUUCCACUAAUGAAAAUAAAAGAAAAUAAUAAUUGAAACAAAGAAGUGCUUUACUGCUGUGCAUGCCCUGGGAUAGUGCCUAUCUCUGGAUUCAGCACUUCAGGAAUUGGCUAAUGACUUCGCAGGCCUUUGUAACAACCUCACUGGAAGAACUGUAAAUUAAAGAUCAAUGUGAUGUGGGCCAAUACAUAUAUAGAGGAGUGCUCCUGAGAAAACCAGCAGAAUUUUGGGUGCUGGCAUCCAAGGAGCUGCAGAAUCAGUGGAAGUUUUGGGCCUUGAUGUGGGCCUUGCUGGGAGGAAUCACGCUACAUAACUACUGCAUAAUGGAUCAUUUUUACCCCAGGAUUACAGAAGACUGGACUGGCUGGACUAAAGCAGAGUUCCAAAAUGUCACCUGGCCAGGAGUUGCAUUGUCCCCUGACUUCCCAUGUUGCUCUGUACCUUGGCAAAUGAGGACUAUAUCUUUUCCACUGUCUUCUAACUUCUCAGGUAUGGCCUUCCUGUGCAUGUGCAAACUGCAGCUAUCUGUGAAACACAGGAACACCUUCCCAAGCCCCUGUCCCAGUCUCUCUCACAUGUCAUUUCUGUAUCAGGAGCACAAAGGCUCAG
Molecule: non-coding RNA, 2209 nt
Organism: Zonotrichia albicollis (white-throated sparrow)
Lineage: Eukaryota; Metazoa; Chordata; Aves; Passeriformes; Passerellidae
Source: RefSeq, a predicted model, not a curated record